CAAAAAAAAAAAAAAUCCCCUUUUUUGAACUGCAACUCAGUUGUUAUGCUGAAUAUGUUUGCAGAACCACCAUUUUAAUAAAUAAUUCUGCACUGACAAAUCUCAGUAAGUGGGUAUGAACGUGAAGGCUUAAGAAAAAGAUACAUUUGCAUACACUGCUACCCAUGCCAUGAAUCUUACAUUAUAUUCUAUGAAGAGUUUAUUUCAACUAAGCUAAAAUGUUGCAUUGGGUGUAGUAUAGGAAUUAGGAAUCAACAGCUUUUAAUCUUUAUCCUGACCCUCCAGCAAACCAAUAAAACCUUUGAUAUUGGAGUAUCCUUGCACUUAGGAUGUGAAAAGUCAUUUAUUUCAUUUGAUUGACAUGAAAUUAUGUUAAUAAUCAGAUUGCUUUUAAUAAGCCUUCGGGUCUGCAAGUUUUGCCUGGAGGGUUUUUCCAACAGCAAACUGUUUCAACUGAAUUCCACUGGUUAGCUAAGGAACAAAUCUCUGGGCAAAGAAACAAAUCUCUUUCUUACUGAGCCAAGAAUCACAUCUCGUUUCUGUUCAUCGCAUAGGAAGGGGCACAUCUGGUUAGCUGAGGUAUUGCUGAACAAUAUGACAAUGACUGUUUGCUUUUGUUAACUGUUAGCUGCGUUCUCAAUGGUUCAUAACCUCAUAUACAUGACAACUGAAAAUUUUUUUUAAUUAAUCCAGUGAUCAGAAGGAAGCAUACACUUGAAGGCCAGUUUGCACAACUAAUAUUUACUGAAAUAAAUAAUAAAUUCCGAGAACUAAGAAAUAAAUAUAGAUCCUAUUAUUUGUUAGUUGUGUUUGAUAAUUCCAUAGUUUAAUUCAGGACAGAAGUCCCGACGUAACUGUCAGUUUGAUCUUAGUUUGGACAGCAAGGCUGAUCCACUAUUGCCUGAAUGUGAUGGUUUCCUGCCAUGUUUUUGCCUUCCUGCGAUGCCAUGUCUAUUCCUCCCUCAAACUCCCAAUGCAGAAAGUUUAGUGCACCUGUACACUGUUUAGAUUUUUUAUAUAAUGGAAUGAUAUGACAACCAUAUUUAUUUUGGUAAUCAGAGAUUUCUGCAGUUUCAUUUUUAUGCUGAUGGUUUGUAUUCUCUUCCUUGCAUAACAUGCCAGACAUUUUGUGCUUCUUUUACCUGAGAGUUGUCUCACCAGUUCUUUUGGUCUUUAUAUUGCAUCAAUAGUGUUGAUUAGGAAAAAACCAUAUCUUCUUCUAAAUUUCCAAUGAUUUGAUCAGUUGUCAAGUGGAUUCUAGAAAUAUUACUGUGUGCAAAGUCAAAGCUUGCCAGGACUCACCUAGCAGCAUAUUUUGCUGAUGGCACAUCUCGUGUUGGAGAUAUUGGGUUAGUGAAGAAUUCCAUCUUGCUUGCUUCUUCACUUGUUUUUAAAAUAUGUAAAAGUUCAUCUGAUAUAGGAACCUUCUCAUGUUUCCUUUGAGGCCAUGGAUUGCAGAGAUGCCUAUGGACAUGUUUCCUCUGGUCACAUAUUGACCACCUUUUCUGGUUUAAUAACUGUACAGAGAGAUUGACAAACCUGCUGCAUAGCUUAUUGAAAUUUGAUUGUGGAUCCACAGUUUACGUUCGAGUCUUUACUUUCAAUAUUUUUCAGAAAUUUUCAGUGGAAAGGAUUAGAAAUUCUGGUGUGAGAUCAAUUUUUACCCUCUUAUGUGUAAUUUUCUUGAUUCAAAUCUAUUAUUGGGGAAGGUGGGAGGGUGGAGAAGGACCAAGAUGAGAAAUGUAGAGAAAUUUGCAUUAGUUGAAAUUUUUGUUCAACGGAAAAAUAAAAAGGAGUGAGACAACUAGUGCUACACAUGAAAGUUGAAUGAAAUAAAAUCUCAAAAUUCAUUCUCAGUUGGAGGCACUAUCGUAGCUGAAUUGUUUUUUUUCCAAAUUACUGAAUCUCUUGGUGGAUGUAGAAAAAUUAGAAUUAAAACCUUUAGUCUCUUUGUGAACGUAACGGAUCCACUAUUACUAUUCUGUUAUAAGCUGAUGGCAUUAGCCAAAUAACCCUCAGCCCCCACCACCUGAUCACCACCCUUAGACCUACUAUAUGUUUUGGUGGUUAUGCUUAGGAAAAAAAUUAUUCAACCUGAGUUCUUGUAGUGAAGGUUACGAACUAAAAAUAUAUGCUGCUACCCCAUGUAUUCCAGAGUCAAGCUACAGAACCCAAAUUCAAAUCAUACUUGAUUUAGUAGAGGAAGAAAGCAUGGGUGAUUAAUGGCUUGAGUAUUGAAGGGAGAACUGCUUAAACUGUGAGUUCUAGAAUGGGCCACUUUCUGUUUGUUUAGGUGCUGUGAGAAAAAUUUCACUCAUUAUAUGUUUUUCAUUUUCAACCAUAUGUACCCAGCUGAUGAAAUGUAUUAUUUUCUCAUAUACAGUGAUACCACCACAAAGCUUGUCAAGGGCAGGAAAAUUUCGAAGAUAUAUCGAGCACUAGUAGAUGGGAUACUCAAAGAAGAUAAGGUUAUCAUCAAUCAACCAAUUGGAACAGUGCGAUACCCUGGUGUGGCCAAGGGGCUGUAUGUUGCUUUGCCUUCAGGUACAUUAAACUGUUUUUAUUAAUGAAGAUUUUUCUCUCCCCUUCUUGAAGUACUUCUAGUUGCUACUACCAGUUUCACAGGCAUAAUACUUCUUUGGAUAUGUUUACAAGUGUGCUUAAGAGUCACCCAUCUUGCUGAGUAUUGUUUCAUCCUUUGCUUUCAUAUUGAUCCAUGGCUUUUCAGAAUUAUUUCUGAUCAUGUUUAUUCUUCCUUUUCUUUGUGUGUGUGUGUGUUAAACAAGGUAAACCAGCAUUGAGCAAAGUUGAAACACUUGAGAGGGAUGUGCAGGGAAACCGUACAUUGGUCCAGGUUGAGAUUGAGUCAGGACGGCCACACCAAAUACGUAUUCAUCUUUCUUUCAUAGGGCAUCCUUUGUUAGGUGAUCCUCUUUAUGUUGUUGGUGGGCAACCAAAGUGUGCUGAAUCUGAAUCUGUGGAUGAAAGCUUUGCUCAAGACGGGGGGUAUCAGAGACCUACAAAACCUGUUCCUGGAGAUUGUGGAUAUCACUUGCAUGCGCAUCAAUUGUUCCUCUUGCACCCAACUACAAAUGAGGUUAUAAAAAUCACAGCAGCGCUCCCGCCUAUUCUACAAACGAGGACAGAGACCGAAAUUCUAAUGGAAGUAAACGGUGCUGAACAACAAAAUUGACAAUUGUUUUGUCAUUAUGAGUGAAUCAACAGGAUGAUUUCUUGAUAAAGACAACCACCCUCAAAAAUAUCCCAAGCAAGCAAUCCGUUUUCGACUCCUUCGAUAAAAGACAAGUCGAAUUUUUUUCAAUUGACCAUUGUAGAGCAGCCACGACAGCAGUUGAAAACCAUACUCUAAAAAACGAAGUAUAUUCCGUCUUUGCUCAUCCAAUCAUAAGUUAAGGACUGUCAGAUGCUAUGUUUUUUUUUUUUUUUGGGUCGAGUUGCCAUGUUAGCUCAGGAAUUUUCAGAAGAAAAC
Molecule: unclassified non-coding RNA, 3490 nt
Filed under: Hevea brasiliensis (rubber tree)
Lineage: Eukaryota; Viridiplantae; Streptophyta; Magnoliopsida; Malpighiales; Euphorbiaceae
Source: RNAcentral